UACAGAGGGUGCGAGCGUUGUCCGGAAUCACUGGGCGUAAAGGGCGCGUAGGCGGUCGCGUAAGCGUGUGGUGAAAGCCCGGGGCUCAACCCCGGGUCGGCCGUGGCAACUGCUGGGCUGGAGCACUGUAGAGGCAGGUGGAAUUCCGGGUGUAGCGGUGGAAUGCGUAGAGAUCCGGAAGAACACCGGUGGCGAAGGCAGCUCGCUGGGACGGUACUGACGCUGAGACGCGAAAGCGUGGGGAGCAAACAGG
This 253-nucleotide ribosomal RNA is filed under the name uncultured bacterium. RNAcentral describes it as "partial 16S ribosomal RNA". It matches the Rfam family "Bacterial small subunit ribosomal RNA", at positions 524 to 776 of the family's 1533-position model. The record is from RNAcentral.